Molecule: long non-coding RNA, 2117 nt
Organism: Oreochromis aureus
Lineage: Eukaryota; Metazoa; Chordata; Actinopteri; Cichliformes; Cichlidae
Source: Ensembl
GCUGUUUAGUGCAGCCAGAGACCAAAUCACUAUCGUCAAAGUUUGUUUCCUUUCUUUUUUCUAUUUGCUCUCAGUGGAUAAUUUUUCCAUCCUGAUGAUCAGAAGAGUGUUUGAGGGUUUCAGAGAUCCUUCAGAACAACAAGAACAAAACCAUGACAGCUGAACCUGGACAGGACAUCACUUUGACAUGUCGAGCUCCAAACAACAACAACAUUGUUGUUCUAGAGUGGAGCAGAGCUGACCUGGGAGAGAAAUAUGUGCUUCUGUUCCGGGAUGAGCUGUUUGAUUUAGAACAACAGCAUCCAUCUUUUAAGAACCGGGUGGAGCUGCAGGACAGACAGAUGAAGGAUGGAGACGUGUCUUUGAUUCUGAAGGAUGUGACGACUAAUGACACUGGAACAUACGAGUGUCGUGUUGUCCAGAGAGGAACUAAACGCAGGAAGAGAGCUGUUUUGAAAAAUGACCCCAUCAGCAUCGUCACCUUGAAAGUUGAUCCUCUAGGUCAGACAGGAGGAGACACAGAGGAUGGAGGGAAGAAUGGAUCUGCUGGACUGAUUGUCGGUCUGAGUGUUCCUGCUGUGCUUCUUGUUGCUGUUGUUGGUUUUUUGAUCUACAGAAAACAUAAACAACCACAGAGGCAGGAUUCAUACCAGCCUCCUGUUGAACUGCAGCCUGUUUGAAAUGUCAGCUUAACUGUGAUUCUUGUGCUUUGUUUUCAGUCGUGUCACUGAAAAUGUGGAAAGACAGAAGUCAGUAAUAUUAAACAUUUAGCAGGUAUCUGUCAGACAGGUCCAGAUUUUGCAUUUAAUUUACAUUUUUCAUCAGAAAAGAGGAGAAAGUUGUUUGGAAUAUAAACAGUAUUUGUCUGAUAUGACUCAGGAUCCUUUGAUCACAUGUUGCUGGUGUUUGACUCGUUUUAAAUGUAAUUAUAUUCAAAUGAAACCAAAGAAAAAAACAUUUCUAUGUAGCUGCAGAGUCCAACAUUUCCUCCCUUUGACCUGAAACGAUUCAGCUUUAUUGAACUUUACCUUCCAUGAAGGAGACUCUUCAGUCUGUUACUGUCCAGUUGUUACUUUCCUUUAAAUAUUUUCCUGACAAAGAUCCACAUGUGUUAGUACUUAAUGUGUAUGUUUUUUUUAUACCAACAUUUCCUGUGGCUGUACUUUUUUUGUUCUGUUUUCAAUCAGAAGCUCUGACUUCCUGAAACUGUUGAUGCAGAUUUUGUCACCUUGAAUUGAUCCAAAAUAAAUACAACCAUGUGUGAACUGUUUCUGCUUCUCAUAAUUACAGACCUGCCUCUCAGAGGUAGAUUCUGAUAAUAUAUCAGAAUCGUUGGACAAUUGGUCAAAUACAUUAUUCUGUAUUCUUCCUCCCUAUUACAUUGAUAAAACUGCCUUUUUUUGAUCAACUACCUGUACAGUGCAGGCUAACCUGGAGGUUAGCAGCUCACAAUAUGACCUCAAAUUUCAACUAGUUCUAAAAAGGAGUCCGGCUACCUUCACCAGAACACAACAUAGACACGGUAGUCCUGAUGCUCAAUCAAGGGUGAUUCUGUUCAUCUGGACAUUUUCAGUAGGAGAAACGUUUCGUCACUCAUCCAAGUGACUUCUUCAGUCUCAGCUGAGUCAGAAAUCAGGAAGAGGGUUUAUUGCCAAAUCUUACAUAUUGUAGGAUUAAAGAAAUUAUUUUACGGUUACUGUUCAUAACCAUCAUCUUUAUCAUUGCAUUAAUUAUCAUUUCAUCAAAGCAUUUAUUGAAGCUGUUGGCAUUAUGUUAUAAUUUGUAUUACAGGGGUUAUCAUAAUCACAUAUUAACAUGUUUAUUACAGGUGCAGUUAGAACCACUUAAAUCGUUGAGUUAAAUCUAUAAUCUUAAAAGCUUAUAUGCUGAGUAUAUUGUUACAGUAAAAAUAGUAGCUGAGCAAAGGCCUGAGUGUAUUCAGCAACAUGUUGCACUAGAGUUUACUUGACAACAGGUGACAGAAGGAGGACAAGUCCAUGGGGACCUCAAAGGCCUGAGAUCAUCACCAUAUUCGGAAGAGGAUGCCAGAAAGGGGAACUUCUGUGUCUGCAUUUAUCUCUUAGAAUUGAUCAUUGUCUGUAAAAGAGGCAAAUAAU